RNAcentral lists this long non-coding RNA (550 nucleotides) under Felis catus (domestic cat). Its description in RNAcentral is "lncRNA (ENSFCAG00000044744.2)". The record is from RNAcentral. Lineage: Eukaryota; Metazoa; Chordata; Mammalia; Carnivora; Felidae.
GCCGAGCUGAAUCAUUUUCCAGAGACCUGUGCUGGCCAGGGACUCCUUCCUAACUUACUACAUUUCCCUGUGACUGUCUUCCUGGCCCUGUUGUCAGGCCAGGAGCAAGGAAAAGUGAUCAUCAAAUUUCAGGAAUGUGAGCUGACCUUGGAGCGACCUCAGCAUGCCCAGUGCCCUGCAGACGCCACCAGGCACGGAGGAGUGAAGGCGGCCGUGGCUGUGCUGAGGCGCUACAGACACCAUCUCGCCAAGCCACGCGACUACGUCUGUCGCAGACGCCCUGCUUUUCCGCGGGAGAAAAGCUGAGGGUAUGCUUAAAAGGAAAGACGAAAUGGUAUAAAGACAAAUAGAGGGGAAGAGAGACCAGGAAAGCAGAGAGCCAUCGAUGCGAAGCAUCUUGACCCCUGCGUGUUUCUCUCAGGUCACAGACUUCACAGCAAGCGAUAGAGAGUCAAGGACAUGCAGAAAUGGGUUUCAUUCACUGCAGUAAGAACAGGGAAACAAGUUCAUGGCAAAGGUAAUAAAAAUCUGGUUUCAAUGCUGAAUGUCA